UCCAACAUGAGAGAGACAACUUGUAGAUGUGAUGUGAGCAACUUGUCUGAAAGUUGGAAGUCUUCUGUUAACUGUGCCAAGAGAAAUCUGUUCGUGGAUAAAUGUUACUUUAUAUGAAUUCACUUGCCACAUGCCAAAGUAUUUCCAA
Etheostoma spectabile (orangethroat darter) is the source of this 148-nucleotide long non-coding RNA. RefSeq lists it as uncharacterized. The transcript has 3 exons. The record is from RefSeq and is a predicted model, not a curated record. Lineage: Eukaryota; Metazoa; Chordata; Actinopteri; Perciformes; Percidae.